UAAUACGUAGGGUGCGAGCGUUAAUCGGAAUUACUGGGCGUAAAGCGUGCGCAGGCGGUGAUGUAAGACCGAUGUGAAAUCCCCGGGCUUAACCUGGGAACUGCAUUGGUGACUGCAUCGCUGGAGUAUGGCAGAGGGGGGUAGAAUUCCACGUGUAGCAGUGAAAUGCGUAGAGAUGUGGAGGAAUACCGAUGGCGAAGGCAGCCCCCUGGGCCAAUACUGACGCUCAUGCACGAAAGCGUGGGGAGCAAACAGG
This 256-nucleotide ribosomal RNA is filed under the name uncultured bacterium. RNAcentral describes it as "partial 16S ribosomal RNA". It matches the Rfam family "Bacterial small subunit ribosomal RNA", at positions 521 to 776 of the family's 1533-position model. The record is from RNAcentral.